This is a long non-coding RNA of Myxocyprinus asiaticus (Chinese sucker), 5011 nucleotides long. RefSeq lists it as uncharacterized. The transcript has 4 exons. The record is from RefSeq and is a predicted model, not a curated record. NCBI's taxonomy places the organism in Eukaryota, Metazoa, Chordata, Actinopteri, Cypriniformes, Catostomidae.
AAAAGAGUACACACAUGUAGUGUCUAAAGACUGAGAAAAAGAAAAGGAUUUUGAUUUGAAAGUAGAAACAUUGAACAGCUUAAAGACUGUUGAUGGGAGGAACUCAGUGUCGACGAGACGCUGAGCUCAAAAAUUAUAGUUUAUAUUCAACAGUUGCGUGAACCUAAUGUGUGUGCGCGCGUGUGCAACGCUCCGAGAGUGUGUCGCAGUUUAUCUUGGUUUUUUUGGUUUUGUUUCAUCUUUGGAAAGUAUUCGGAAGAGAGACAAUACCCGUGUUUUAUUUUACAUUAAAGUGUUAAGAAAUGGUUGAAGUGUUCGGAGCUCAAGGGAUGACUGAGUGAAUGCGGAGCGAUUUAUUAGGAGAGACCGACGUGCUUUCGUGGCCUGUGCUGAUCUGGCCUAUCUACAAGAUGGAGGAUUUGCCUGGACAUGUCAUCCGAUUCAUCUUUGGAAGAGAUGGUUUGUGAUGGAUGCAUGGACGACUGGAUCUGCUGAUCAUUUCAUUGGUGCAUCUUCAAAUCUGGUACUGUGUUGUUUUUGGAAUCGCUAUCUUGUGGGAUCUUGUGAGUACUCCUAACUGUUCGCUAACACAUUAAUUUGAGCUCUUACCUUGCACGCCUACAAGGGACGUAAAUCCCAGCUGGGUAAUUUUCUUUUUUUUUUUUUUUUUUUUAUUUGUUUGGGAAUGUAUUUUUUUUUUUUUUAGUAUAAUGUGAAUCUGAAUGUUUCAUAUUUAGUGUGAAAUUUGUAUUCCAUGUGAUCACUCAUUUGAAUUUAUUUAUUUUUAAAGUUCUUUUGUUUCAUAUGUGUUGAUUUCAAUUGACAGUGUUAUUAGUUGCUUCAGUUUCAAAGGGGAAAUAAGAAAAAAGUCAAAAGAAUAAAUACAGUGUUUUAGUAUUUUAAUCUCCUGUGAUCUUUCUGCAGAGAAAGGGGGAGGUUAAAGGGGACAUCUGAGUAAUUUCGUUGAGAUUGGGGUUUACACGAUGUAAUGUGGGCACAGUGGUAAAUUUAGAUGUGCCUCUCACCCGUAGUUUUUUUUUAGUUUGAAUUUCCCCUAGACAUACUUGUAUUUUGAGCCAGUGCACUGGUGAGAGGGCUACACAUAAAUGCAAUUAUGUUUUGGCAAAUAUUUCCAAACAAAUUAAUAAGUACAAUAAUAUAAUAGAUGCCACUAUCUAUAAAAAUUCCCAAUAAGAAAAUGCAUUAGAGCAAUUCUCUUGUGGUACUGCAUUGCCAUAUGAAAAUUUUCAUAUUUUCCUCAAUUUUCUGUAAAACUAUGUUAGAAAAAAUUGAUCAGUAAACAACAUCUAAAUAACUUAUCAAAAGUGCCAUAAAAAAUUGUGAUGUAGAAGGAACAUACCAAAAACAUUUUAAUAGCGCAAUUUGUGAAGAAGAAAAAAAAAAGCAUAUAUAUAUUUUUCUCCCCUUUUCUACCCAAUUUGGAAUGCAUAAUUCCCAAUGCGAUCUAAGUUCUUGUGACUUGCCUCAAUCCAGGUGGCGGAGGACGAAUCUCAGUUGCCUGCGCAUCUGAGACCAUCAAUCCACGCAUCUUAUCACGUGGCUUGUUAAACGCAUGUGUAGAGGCUUCACGCUAUUCUCUGUGGCAUCCAUGCACAACUCACCACGCGCCCCACUGCGAGCGAGACCACAUUAUAGCGACCACAAGGAGGUUUACCCCAUGUGACUCUACCCUCCCUAGCAACUGGGACAAUUUGGUUGCUUGGGACACCUGGCUGGAGUCAUUCAGCACGUCCUGGAUUCGGACUCAUGACUCCAAGGGUUUUAGUCAGCAUCUUUACUCGCUGAGCUACCCAGGCCCCUAUUAUUGGUUACUUAAAUUAUCUUUUAUUUCCGACAAUGCAUUAUGUUUUAAAAUUUUCUGAAAGAAAAUAACUAAUUCAUGCCAUAUGGCUACACCGUACCAUACAGCGUUAAUGUGGCAAGACAAUCAGUAAUCAUAGGCUAAAUUCAGAAUCACAUACCAUUCUACUCUUACCAUUUCUAUCAUAUCUAUAUAUGGUACACUGUAAAAUUUAAUAGUAUUCCUUACUUAAAAAAUAUUAGUAUGUUUACUUGAAUUUAACCAAAACGUUGAGUUUACUAGAAAUGUUUAAUUGUUGCUGACAUUUUCGAACACAUAGUUCCCAUAACUAACGUAAUUUAAGUAAAAUUACUCAAAAUGUUCAAGAUGUGCUGUUAGGCAUGCGCACUGGAUGGCAAUUUCCCCUCCCCCACACAGCGCAGAAGCAUAUAGAUUGAGGAUUUGACAUUCUUCUUCGGUAAAUGCAAGGUAAUAUUUUUUAAUUUAAACCUCAUUUUCAGCUUUAUUUUGUUUGAUACACUUAAUAAUUGUUAGAUUUUUUGCACUGUUGUUUUCAUGCUGUUUUGUGUAACGUAUUAGCUCAUGUUAAGAACUUACACAAACACGUUAUUCACUGCACAUAAUUUGAAGGCAUUUCUGUUAAAACUAGUCUUUGCCCGCAUCAUAUUUGUAAAAUUAGCUGACUGGUUGGAUAUUAAAUCAUUUAGAUAUGUAUAUUUUGUGAUGGCCACGAGUAUGGGAAUACUGGAGUAGUUUGAACUGAUGACUGGUCAUGAUUAUGCAAUACGUGACUUCUUACAGAAUUUGAAAUUCCUUGACAACUCUAAAAUUAGGAACUUUUUUAUACUUGUGAUUGUUACGGAAUAGUUUUCGGCAUCACUCAGCAUAUAUUCACGAGUGCUGGGCACGCCACUUUUUAGAACAAGGCAGCGCAGAUAGACAUGGAUGCAUUCACUCUAGAGAAAGCGCAAUCCAGAUAAAGUACAAAUGGAUGUAACAGACCGCGACAUCUUGAGCCUGGUUCUUUUAAAGUAACUCUUAAUUUGAUACGCCACAUUAAAAACGCAACGAUGUGUGGUGAACUCCAGUCAAGCUGGUUGUGGCGAAAAUAGUAUGCGUGCUUAUUAUGAUUAUUACGGUAGCUUGCAAACCACAGACUGCAUGGUACGUUGAGCAUUUGCGCUUUUAUGAGUUGUGCAGUUUGCAUUCACUGCAAGUUGUUCAGCCUUCUGAACUAAAUUACCCCUUCCCUUUGGCAGCUUAUAAUAUCCGAGGACAGUUUUUUGUCACAUUGAAGUAUUAUAUCUGCUGCUAAAUGACAUUGCAUUGUAUUAUUGCUGUUAUGCUUGACUUCUGCUUUUUUCUUUUUGUAAUUUCAGUUCACCAUGUCGAUGACACUUCGCAUUAUUGUGCAUGACAGUGACAUUAAAAGUAAUCAUUCCUGAAAAAGCAGCUGAUGUUGAUGCCUUGAAACAUGUGCUGCAAGAAAAGCUCCAACUCACAUACUCAUUCAGUGUCCAAUAUGAAGAUCCUGACUUUAAUCAUGCAUUAUGUAAUGUCAAUGACAUUAAUGAUUUGCCAGAGAGGGCAACCCUGAAAAUAAUUCCUCUACACACAUCUCCCUCCUCCAGUCAAGCUGACACUUCUCUCAGGUUCUGAUACAUCAGAUCAGUUGUCUGCUGAACGACAGUGUGAAUGGUCAGAGGAUUUUGAAAUAUGCAAAUUCUCUGUUAAUGUUGAGUACAGUCUCCGUCAGGGAAACCUUGCUUUUAUGAAAGAUGGUACAAGUCUUAAUGUUGGAAGAGACAUAAAACAUGACAUACUGGAAGCACUUGCCGGGGCCAUGUACACUUUUAAGGCAUAUCCAAGAAAUGAAGACUUUGCCCAAGUUGCAGCAGCUUUCAUCAAAGCACAUCCCUGUUUGACUGAACAGGGCUCCCCAACAGGCUCAGCUGGCUGGAAAAACAGCCUGAAAUUUAAAAUGGCCAACUAUAGAACAAAACUGCGUAAAUGUGGCUGUAGUGAUGUUGCUGUUGAGGGAAAGAGAGGUGCAACGAUGGCAAUGAAGUCCAGCAUUAAAAAACCCAGUUGAUUUGAAUUAAAUUUGUUGCCAAAGUUUCCUAAUGGGGAAGAUGAAGAAAGUCAAGAAUGCACAAGAAUACAACUUGUCGAAGAAAUGAAAAUGAGGCCCCCAAACAUGAGCCUGAUUGGACAGAAGAUGGACAGAACUUUUGCCUUGAUAAGGAAGGAAAUCGUCCACUCUGAACCUCAUGUCUGUGAGAUCUUGGAGAAGUGGCCAGCACUUUUCACAGAAAGCCAGGUCUUUGCAGAAUUCAAUCGUAUAUCUGGGAAAAAUCUGAGAUCUGAAUUCUACACAGCGUUGGACACGCACUCUGCACGUUUGAGGAAAUCAGGGAAGAACACUUGAUGAAAUUUUGCAUCAUGUUGACUCAAAGUCAUCUGAUGUAACUUGUGUUCGCACCGCAGUACUUCAGGGUCUUCCAGUCCUCCUGGGGGAUGACCCAGAGGACUUUUUCAAGAUGAGCUUCGAUUCAGAUGUAGAUGCAGACUUCAGUGAAGUAGAUGUUGGACUGCUCACAGUUUUACCUGAAGGCAUGCCUGCCAAACGUCCACAUGCCCUCAACAUGGACGCAAUGAGGGCAAUCAUUCUGGAGAGAAGAAUUGUCAUGGGUGAUGUCCCAAAUUUGCUACAUGCUGUAUGUCUCCUCUUUGCUUUGAUCUAUGCUCUAAAUUUAGACUACCCAAAGACAAUGAGGAACACAUUUGAUUGUAUUCAGUGGGUAUUUCUGUCUUUGGGAGGAUAGAAUCUCAAACCCAAACUCCAAACCCUUAAAAAUCAGCUUUUAAGCUGAACUUGUUUCUGGAAUUUUUUGCUGUAAUUGCAGUUCAGUUUUAGAAUCUUUCCAAAGCCACAUGCAGGUUUUUCAAAAUUGUAAAGGGAUUUUUUUUUAUUUAUUUUUUUUACUUUUUUGGAAUUUGCACAGUGCCUGUUCUGCAAAUGCUCUGUACCUUGUUUUAGGUCCAGAUAUAAUGUUGUCAUGCAGCAGAGUGCUGCAAGGGGUCUAAGUCUUAAGAACAGAUGAUGUUUUAAAGGCAUAGUUUUAUUAUUGUAUUGUUCUUAAAAGAGUUUUAGCUGUUUAUUACACAAAUAAACAGUUGAGAAUUUCA